Molecule: transfer RNA, 73 nt
Filed under: Bos taurus (domestic cattle)
Lineage: Eukaryota; Metazoa; Chordata; Mammalia; Artiodactyla; Bovidae
Rfam family: tRNA
About the family: Transfer RNA (tRNA) molecules are approximately 80 nucleotides in length.
Source: Rfam by way of RNAcentral
UCCCUGGUGGUCCAGUGGUUUAGACUCUGCACUCCCAAUGCAGCAGGCAUGGGUUUGAUCCCUGGUCAGGGAA